AAACUUUUCUGAAUUUGUUAAAUUAUAUUGACCUAACAAUAUAUUUUUCUUUUAUUCUGAACACUUUCAUUAAUUCCUUAAGAGAACAUACUUGCUACUCCUCAAAGGAGCUUAUGGUUCCGUUGUUUGAAGUACAAUCUGCUACAUAAACAGUCUGAUUAAAACCAGUCCCUACUGCAAGUGAAUGGUGGGGCUGGUUUUAAUCAGACUGCAAAAAAGAAAGAUUACACACAAAAAACAUCAUAAAUAACAAUAAUAGCAUGGAUGUAUAAAACAUGUGAUUGCCAAGUCAUCUUUUUCUAAAAUUUGAUAGCAAAGUCAAUCUUUUCUUAAAUUUGUUCAAUUGUAUUGCAAAGUCAAAAUUUUUUUAAAUU
This 374-nucleotide long non-coding RNA is filed under the name Mytilus galloprovincialis (Mediterranean mussel). The record is from RNAcentral. Lineage: Eukaryota; Metazoa; Mollusca; Bivalvia; Mytilida; Mytilidae.